This 374-nucleotide ribosomal RNA is filed under the name uncultured Thermovirga sp. RNAcentral's name for it is "bacterial SSU rRNA". It matches the Rfam family "Bacterial small subunit ribosomal RNA", at positions 1010 to 1382 of the family's 1533-position model. Lineage: Bacteria; Thermotogati; Synergistota; Synergistia; Synergistales; Thermovirgaceae. The record is from RNAcentral.
ACUUACUCUUCGGAGUGAGAGCGUACACAGGUGCUGCAUGGCUGUCGUCAGCUCGUGUCGUGAGAUGUGGGUUAAGUCCCGCAACGAGCGCAACCCUGCAUUCAGUUGCCAUCGGUAAGGCCGGGCACUCUGGAUGGACUGCCGGCGACAAGCCGGAGGAAGGUGGGGACGACGUCAAGUCAUCAUGGCCCUUAUGUCCAGGGCGACACACGUGCUACAAUGGCCGGCACAACGGGAAGCGAAGGGGCGACCCUGAGCGGAUCCCACAAAAGCCGGUCCCAGUUCGGAUUGCAGUCUGCAACUCGACUGCAUGAAGUUGGAAUCGCUAGUAAUCGUGGAUCAGCCAAGCCGCGGUGAAUACGUUCCCGGGCCUU